This 1442-nucleotide ribosomal RNA is filed under the name uncultured organism. Its description in RNAcentral is "SSU rRNA". It matches the Rfam family "Bacterial small subunit ribosomal RNA". The record is from RNAcentral.
AGGCUUAACACAUGCAAGUCGAGGGGCAGCAUGGUCUUAGCUUGCUAAGGCCGAUGGCGACCGGCGCACGGGUGAGUAACACGUAUCCAACCUGCCGUCUACUCUUGGACAGCCUUCUGAAAGGAAGAUUAAUACAAGAUGGCAUCAUGAGUCCACAUGUUCACAUGAUUAAAGGUAUUCCGGUAGACGAUGGGGAUGCGUUCCAUUAGAUAGUAGGCGGGGUAACGGCCCACCUAGUCUUCGAUGGAUAGGGGUUCUGAGAGGAAGGUCCCCCACAUUGGAACUGAGACACGGUCUAAACUCCUACGGGAGGCAGCAGUGAGGAAUAUUGGUCAAUGGGCGAGAGCCUGAACCAGCCAAGUAGCGUGAAGGAUGACUGCCCUAUGGGUUGUAAACUUCUUUUAUAAAGGAAUAAAGUCGGGUAUGCAUACCCGUUUGCAUGUACUUUAUGAAUAAGGAUCGGCUAACUCCGUGCCAGCAGCCGCGGUAAUACGGAGGAUCCGAGCGUUAUCCGGAUUUAUUGGGUUUAAAGGGAGCGUAGAUGGAUGUUUAAGUCAGUUGUGAAAGUUUGCGGCUCAACCGUAAAAUUGCAGUUGAUACUGGAUAUCUUGAGUGCAGUUGAGGCAGGCGGAAUUCGUGGUGUAGCGGUGAAAUGCUUAGAUAUCACGAAGAACUCCGAUUGCGAAGGCAGCCUGCUAAGCUGCAACUGACAUUGAGGCUCGAAAGUGUGGGUAUCAAACAGGAUUAGAUACCCUGGUAGUCCACACGGUAAACGAUGAAUACUCGCUGUUUGCGAUAUACAGCAAGCGGCCAAGCGAAAGCGUUAAGUAUUCCACCUGGGGAGUACGCCGGCAACGGUGAAACUCAAAGGAAUUGACGGGGGCCCGCACAAGCGGAGGAACAUGUGGUUUAAUUCGAUGAUACGCGAGGAACCUUACCCGGGCUUAAAUUGCAGAUGAAUUACGGUGAAAGCCGUAAGCCGCAAGGCAUCUGUGAAGGUGCUGCAUGGUUGUCGUCAGCUCGUGCCGUGAGGUGUCGGCUUAAGUGCCAUAACGAGCGCAACCCUUGUUGUCAGUUACUAACAGGUCAUGCUGAGGACUCUGACAAGACUGCCAUCGUAAGAUGUGAGGAAGGUGGGGAUGACGUCAAAUCAGCACGGCCCUUACGUCCGGGGCUACACACGUGUUACAAUGGGGGGUACAGAGGGCCGCUACCACGCGAGUGGAUGCCAAUCCCAAAAACCUCUCUCAGUUCGGACUGGAGUCUGCAACCCGACUCCACGAAGCUGGAUUCGCUAGUAAUCGCGCAUCAGCCACGGCGCGGUGAAUACGUUCCCGGGCCUUGUACACACCGCCCGUCAAGCCAUGGGAGCCGGGGGUACCUGAAGUGCGUAACCGCGAGGAGCGCCCUAGGGUAAAACUGGUGACUGGGGCUAAGUCGUA